GCACAAUUUGCGAGUGCUAGCUGUGUAGCAACGAGUAUACUACCAUUAAUUGUCUGGGAGUUUUGAUACGAUUCUAAUCAAGCUGAAUACUAAUAUUAUGCCCAGUGAAAACACGUCGUUGUCUAAUUGCUAUAAUCGUGGCUGUGGGCAGAAAUUCGAUCCUCGAGACAACAAGCCAGAUUCUUGCACGUUCCAUCCGGGAGCUCCAUUUUUCCAUGAUGCUUACAAGGGAUGGUCGUGUUGUAAGAAAAAAUGUACGGAUUUCACGGAAUUCUUGAACAUAAAGGGGUGCACGAGGUCCUACCACAGCGACGUGAAGCCUCCCGAGCCGGAGAGGCCGGUGGUCGAUAAGUCCACUGCGGACGAGGUGAUAGAAGUGAAGGCCCCGAGACAGCCCGUACCAGAGCCUCUGGCGAGAUCUUCGUUCGACACCCCUCUGGUGACGCUCCGGACGGAGGUGUCCCCGGGACUGUCGCAGGAGCUCCAGCGACUGGUCCUGUCCCCCCGGGACCCGGCGGGGGACGCUAAGGGCGACGGCGCGACCCCCGUCGGCACCAGCUGCAAGAACAACAGCUGCAAGGCCACGUACGAGGGCCCGGACUCGAACGCCGCCACCUGCCGGCACCACCCUGGCACCCCGGUGUUCCACGAGGGCCUCAAGUUCUGGUCGUGCUGCCAGCGACGCACCACGGACUUCAACUCCUUCCUGGAGCAGGAGGGCUGCACUUCCGGCUCUCACGUGUGGCUCAAGGAGAAGACUGCGGAGCAGAGGCAGCGCGUGAGCUGCCGCUACGACUGGCACCAGACGGGGGGCUUCGUGGUGGUGUCGGUCUUCGCCAAGAGGUACGACCCGGCCCGGUCCCAGGUCGAGGCGAGCCCCGUCCGGCUGCGGAUACACCUCUUCUUCCCCGAGGAGGAGGGCUCCUUCGACCUGGACGUCGAGCUGCGAGGGGUUGUGGACGUGGGCGGCAGUAGCGCCAACAUGCUGCCCUCGAAGCUGGAGGUGAAGCUGCGCAAGGCGGAGUCCGGGUCCUGGCCCGCGCUGGAGUUUGCACGGCCGUCAGCGCGGCCGCCCUCCCCCGCCGCGCCGCGGCACUCUCCCGAGGGCACGGCCGACGAUCUCGUAGACCUCAGCGACCUGUGAGGGGCCCGGUCUGCCGUCACGCCCGGUAUCCCCGUGGAAAUGGGCCACAUCAAACUUUAAUAUCUUCAACUCAUCAGUAUUGAAAAUAUUAAAUAUUCAUGGGAAAAGAUUCAAAGAAAAAUAUUGAAAAAUAUUCAAAAAUUCAUCACUAACAAGUCUGAAGUUUACAAGCCGCUGGAUGGGGAUGUCGCCGAUGGUCUCGGUGAAGAAGAGGCGCUCGACGGUGGCGCGCCGCACCGCCCGCAGUCCCGGCACCAGCAGCAGCAGGCGGCCGAAGCGGGUCGGCUGGCGCGGGUGGCGCGACCGCACGUAGUCGCCCAGGAUGCACUGCGCCUGGUCCUGCAGCAUCUCCACCGGCUGCACGUCGCACAGCCCCGGCGUCUCUGUCACACGUGCACCAGCUGCAGUUGCCCGGGCUCUCCGCCAAGUGUCGAGGAUUCAUUCACAGAGACGUGACGUCUGAUAAAUCGAUGAACGCCGGCUGCACGCACGAAAACGUGUCCCAUCACGCUCAUUGUCCCGUUACACUCGUCGUUCCGUUACGCUGUCGGCGAGUGCAGUAAUAAUAGGUUAUGUUACAAUUUACUAAAAAAUUAUGGUGAUUCAUAUAAGUUAAUUGAUGAUAGAUAUUUGAUUAUGAUAGAUAUUUCAUUUCAGUUUAUUUAUGUGAAAACUUGUUCAUAAUUACAUUUAAACUUUAUAGCUGAACGCCAGUUGUUUUAAAAAUUAAUUACAAGUCAUCUACAUGUGAACUGUUUCGUCGACUGUCUAUAAAGUUGAAGUUAAAAAGUUUUAGUGGUUUUCAUUGCUUAUUUCAACAAUAAUUUCGGCAAUAAAGGUUAAUUAUUCUUGCAUUUUGAAAAUCUGAUUACUAGUAUAAUUUCAAGUAUUUAUUCUUUUAUUAUUAAAAUAAAAAUGAUUCAAUUUUAUUCAUGAAAGUAUGCAAUCAUUUCAUCAAUGUUUUGUUAUGACGUCACGUUUUUUUUUUACCACGCAUUAAUAAUAGAUUUUAUUUUGUUGGAGAACCAGCAAACAUACUUUUUUUUCAAUAUUUAUUUUGAAUAUUUUAUUGCAAAGUUUCCGUCUGGAGCGUUCAAAGAUUUAGACAUUAAUUUCCGUCUUAUUUUUAACAUUGAGUGUGCAAAAUAUCAAGCAGUACCAAGAUCCUGCUUUAAGCAGUGUAGACAGUUGACCUGCCUUCUGUUUUGAAGGUCGAGUGAGUAAAACUGAAGACAUGUAUAAAAAAAAAACCACAGAGAUUCUUCUUUGUACAUAUAUAUUGUUUAAUGUUUUGUGAAACAUGUAUUAAGUAUGACUUGUGUAAUUGUAUAUGUUUAAAACAAAAUUAUUGCAACAAAAGCUUAAAUUCAAAAUGAUAAUUAUCCUUCACCUGUAAUGUCAACACCACGUCGUGCGAUGCUUUGUUACUGAUACAGUACUUUCAGAUAUCUGAUCAAAAAAAAAUUACUGCAAAAAAAGUAGCCUAGGAAAGGCACCCUUAUGGCAAGAGUAACACUACUCAGUUGACCUGCCUGUGAGAUGGGCAAGUGUGAUGGACCUAUGGGAAAUCAGAUUCCAGAUCCGCUGGGUUUCAACGCAGGUUGCCUUGUAAAAGUGUAGCCAGUCAGGCUACGAGCACUGUUUAUCAUCACUGAGCGGUUAAAUUUGAGCAGAAAUGUAAUCAAAGGACUAUUUUAGGAUUAUACUAGCUGCCCUGUGGCAAAAUUUAACAACAAAGUACCCUUGAAGCCAACGGUGAACCUCUGUGGUGUUGGUUCGGAAAGUACCAUAAAACGGUUUGUAGCAUUAUAUUUUCAAACGUAAAAUAACAGAAAAAAAUUAUACAUUGUUUAAAUAGUUCUAUGUAUAAUUCUUUUCUGCUAUAUUAUGUUUCAAAAUAUGUCAGAAUCUUUUGAUCCUAUUCAUCCCUCUGAUCCUAUUCACCACGUUUUACGGUAUUUUCGAAUAGGAUUAAUUUGGUUUUACCUGGCGUGAAGAGGAUAACAGCCUUCAUGCAGCCGCACUCGCUGCCGUCUGGCGACAGCUGGCGAAACCUUCCCAUGAUCUCCUGCGUACAAAAAAUAGGUAAUGUACUGUAUAAUAUAUGUAUGGUAGGUACUGCUAUAGCAGCACAGAUUUUCCUCUUCCAGUAAUCAGAAUACUUGUGCUUUUUGUGGCCCACUAAGAGCUUGAAAUUUAAUUAAAUAGUUUUAUAAUUUUUUUAAGUAGAUUCACGCAAAUUCAAUAAAAAUAAAAACUUGGUACUAACCGCUAUCUUUCUUAAAUAUACUUAUAUUGUCUAUACUUCUAUUGUCUAUACUUCACAAUAUAACUUCACAAAAUGUAUAUAUGUUAUAAGCCCAAAUUAUUCUUGUAAUGUUCAGAACCGUGCUUACGAUAACGGCUCAAAAUGAGUCGACCGUACUAGAUGGCGACAACAGUAGUUAGGUAAAUGUAAAACUCACUUGGGCAAGUAACGACUCAAUGGAUGGCUUAUGAGUACACCUAAGACUAGUCAGUUUAGCUUCAUGCAGGUGGGCCUUGGAUAAAUUUCAUGAUUUAUAUAAAACUGGAAUAUUUUAUAAUCAGCAUGUUUUGAUAUGUCAUGAUAAAUUAAGUACUUUAAAAUUAUUAACAAACUGUCCUAUCAAAAUACACAUUUGAUACACGUCUUUAAAAGGUUAACAUCAUUAUAAUAUAUCGUGUCCAUCAUUGUCAUGAAUUCUGAUGAAGAGUAAUGAGAUGUGAAUGGAGUUAAUGAUGGAAAGGAUGGGUGGAG
Molecule: RNA transcript, 3923 nt
Organism: Bacillus rossius redtenbacheri
Lineage: Eukaryota; Metazoa; Arthropoda; Insecta; Phasmatodea; Bacillidae
Gene: mora
Gene name: cysteine and histidine-rich domain-containing protein morgana
Exons: 9
Source: RefSeq, a predicted model, not a curated record